Molecule: ribosomal RNA, 485 nt
Filed under: uncultured bacterium
Lineage: Bacteria
Description: partial 16S ribosomal RNA
Rfam family: Bacterial small subunit ribosomal RNA
Source: RNAcentral
GACGAACGCUGGCGGCGUGCUUAACACAUGCAAGUCGAACGCUGAAGACCUGGCUUUUGUUGGGUUGGAUGAGUGGCGAACGGGUGAGUAACACGUGAGUAACCUGCCCUCUUCUUUGGGAUAACGCCCGGAAACGGGUGCUAAUACUGGAUAUUCACUGAUCUUCGCAUGGGGGUUGGUGGAAAGGUUUGUUCUGGUGGGGAUGGGCUCGCGGCCUAUCAGCUUGUUGGUGGGGUGAUGGCCUACCAAGGCUUUGACGGGUAGCCGGCCUGAGAGGGUGACCGGUCACAUUGGGACUGAGAUACGGCCCAGACUCCUACGGGAGGCAGCAGUGGGGAAUAUUGCACAAUGGGCGAAAGCCUGAUGCAGCGACGCCGCGUGAGGGAUGGAGGCCUUCGGGGUGUAAACCUCUUUCGCUCAUGGUCAAGCCGCAACUGUGGGUUGUGGUGAGGGUAGUGGGUAAAGAAGCGCCGGCUAACUACGUG